RNAcentral lists this ribosomal RNA (285 nucleotides) under Clavispora lusitaniae. Its description in RNAcentral is "partial large subunit ribosomal RNA". It matches the Rfam family "Eukaryotic large subunit ribosomal RNA", at positions 331 to 670 of the family's 3401-position model. Lineage: Eukaryota; Fungi; Ascomycota; Pichiomycetes; Serinales; Metschnikowiaceae. The record is from RNAcentral.
AGACCGAUAGCGAACAAGUACAGUGAUGGAAAGAUGAAAAGCACUUUGAAAAGAGAGUGAAACAGCACGUGAAAUUGUUGAAAGGGAAGGGCUUGCAAGCAGACACGGUUUUACCGGGCCAGCGUCGAAAUAGGGGGGAGGGAACAAGNGGGAAAGAAUGUGGCGCGUACCUUCGGGCUCGCGUGUUAUAGCUCUCNCUAACACCCCCAUNCCUUGUUUGAGGCCUGCGAUUCUAGGACGCUGGCGUAAUGGUUGCAAGCCGCCCGUCUUGAAACACGGACCAAG